AUUGACAUUUGAUGAUGAAUAAAAGGUGUUUUAUUUAUGAGUAAAGUGUUGCUAUCUCUUGUCAAUCGUUUACUAUAUUUCUUUUGCAUGUUUUGACUUCCAGAAUAAUUUUGUUUGGUGUAACAUAUUAUUCAAACCUCCACAGUCGGUCAUAUGUCGGAAGUAGGUAUGAAUCAAGACUGUCAUGAUGGGUUGUAGAGGUCUAAGGUGUUGGACAAGGCUACAACAAUCAUGAGUGCUCAUAAGUUCUGAGCAUUGGACUCAACCCACGCUCACUGGAAUCACUUCAUGGAAUUCUAUCUCGAGUGAUCGUGAGACGGUAAUAUCAUAUAAGUCUUCAAACCUAGAGAUAUGAUUUGUUACUUACAAGUUGGUUAUGCAUUGACUGUACGAAACCGCAUUGGUAACUCGAUGUUAUAAAACGUACUUUUGUGUGUAAUUCAAUGAGUGGUAGAACAAACAUAUGAGUCGAAGUUUAUCUGUUCCUUCUUGGAUUAGAAGCUGAUAUCUGGGCCCCUCGAUGAUUUUGUUUUGACCCAUGUACCGGGCCCGGUCAGAACUAAGUUGGUGUGUUCAAUUAAGUUCUUUGUCAAACAAAUGUGAAAUCGGGAAACAAACUGCUGGACAACAAGAAAGACAUUGUUCCAUGUAUUUGUCUGGCUGAUAUUUAGAAAAGAGGAUUAUAUGAUCACUUAUGUUAAAUGGCGUAUCAUCAUCUUCUCAGUUCCGAGAGACCUUGAAAGAGCUACGAUUGUUGAUCGGUUCCUGAAGUACUAGAGAUAUAGUUAUUAGACUUAUCCAAGUGGGAGACUGUUGGAUAAGGUGUCUAAGUCCAUAACUAUUUCGGGCUUGUACUUGACCCGACCCGGCAUGGUCCAUUUGGGUUGCAUGGCACCAUGCAAUUGGAUAGACUAAAUGAGAGAAAUAACACUUGGAGAUUAUUAAUAUAUUAUAAGUUCUAAUAUAUUAAUAAUAUUAUUUGAUUAGUUGAUCAAAGAAUUAAUUUGGAAUUAAUUAAGUGAUCAAAGGAUAACUAAUUAAAUAUAUGGGUUGAUUAUGUAAAUCAUCCAUAUCUUGUAUAGUGGGCUAAGAGGCUCCAUGGAUUAUCAAGUUGGGUUCUACCCAUAGGAUGCUCCAUGGAUGCUCCAUGGGAGUUACAAACCCAUGGGUCAUGGAAAUGAAGAGUCAUGACACAUUAGGGUUUACAUGGUGUAACCCUAGAUGUGUCAACACUAUAUAAGAAGCAUAUUCUCCACCAAAAUCGGCNUGCUAUCUCUUGUCAAUCAUUUACUAUAUUUCUUUUGCAUGUUUUGACUUCCAGAAUAAUCAUGUUUGGUAUAUCAUAUUAUUCGAAUCUCCACGGUCGGUCAUAUGUCUGAAGUAGGUAUGAAUCAAGACUGUCAUGAUUGGUUGUAGAGGUCUAAGUUGUUGGACAUGGCUACAACACUCAUGAGUGCUCAUAAGUUCUGAGCAUUGGACUCAACCCACGCUCACUGGAAUCAAUUCAUGGAAUUUAUCUCGAGUUAUCGUGAGGCGGUAACAUCAUAUAAGUCUUCAAACCUAGAGAUAUGAUUUGUUGCCUAC
RNAcentral lists this long non-coding RNA (1584 nucleotides) under Lactuca sativa (garden lettuce). RNAcentral describes it as "long non-coding RNA (LSAT_LNC010355)". The record is from RNAcentral. Lineage: Eukaryota; Viridiplantae; Streptophyta; Magnoliopsida; Asterales; Asteraceae.